GCUCAGAGUGAACGUUGGCGGCGUGGAUUAGGCAUGCAAGUCGUGCGGAAAGGCCCCCCACCCUGUCGCUCUCACCGAUCGCGGCGAGCGGCCGGCGUAAGCCGGCUGAUUAAGUCGCGAUUCGAAGACUCGUCUUUCAAAGACUUGUCUUUCGAACAUUGUCUUUUGAAGACAUGAUGGUGCGAGUGCUGGGUGGGGGGUACUCGAGCGGCGAAAGGGAUAGUAACACGUAGGUACCUACCUUGGGGUCGGGGAUAGCCGCGGGAAACUGCGAUUAAUACCCGAUGAUGUCGGUGAUGAAAGUCAUCGUCCAAAGGUGUGAUUCCGCCCUUAGAUGGGCCUGCGUCCUAUUAGCUAGAUGGCGGGGUAACGGCCCACCAAGGCUUAGAUGGGUAGCGGGUGUGAGAGCACGACCCGCAUCACUGGGACUGAGACACUGCCCAGACACCUACGGGUGGCUGCAGUCGAGAAUCUUCGGCAAUGGGCGCAAGCCUGACCGAGCGACGCCGCGUGCGGGAUGAAGGCCCUCGGGUUGUAAACCGCUGUCGUAGGGGAGGAAAUGCCGGUGGGUAAUCUCAUCGGUUUGACCUAUCCCAGGAGGAAGGACGGGCUAAGUUCGUGCUAGCAGCCGCGGUAAUACGAACCGUCCGAACGUUACUCGGAAUCACUGGGCUUAAAGGGUGCGUAGGC
RNAcentral lists this ribosomal RNA (690 nucleotides) under uncultured bacterium. RNAcentral's name for it is "bacterial SSU rRNA". It matches the Rfam family "Bacterial small subunit ribosomal RNA", at positions 22 to 576 of the family's 1533-position model. The record is from RNAcentral.